RNAcentral lists this ribosomal RNA (254 nucleotides) under uncultured bacterium. RNAcentral describes it as "partial 16S ribosomal RNA". It matches the Rfam family "Bacterial small subunit ribosomal RNA", at positions 524 to 776 of the family's 1533-position model. The record is from RNAcentral.
UACGUAGGGUGCGAGCGUUGUCCGGAAUUAUUGGGCGUAAAGAGCUCGUAGGCGGUCUGUCGCGUCUGCUGUGAAAUCCCGAGGCUCAACCUCGGGCUUGCAGUGGGUACGGGCAGGCUAGAGUGCGGUAGGGGAGAAUGGAACUCCUGGUGUAGCGGUGAAAUGCGCAGAUAUCAGGAGGAACACCGGUGGCGAAGGCGGGUCUCUGGGCCGUAACUGACGCUGAGGAGCGAAAGCGUGGGGGAGCGAACAGG